CCGCUGGGGAGUACGUCGCAAGACUGAAAUCAAAGGAAUUGACGGGGGCCCGCACAAGUGGUGGAGCAUGUGGUUUAAUUCGAAGCAACGCGAAGAACCUUACCAGGUCUUGACAUCCUCUGACAACCCUAGAGAUAGGGCUUUCCCUUCGGGGACAGAGUGACAGGUGGUGCAUGGUUGUCGUCAGCUCGUGUCGUGAGAUGUUGGGUUAAGUCCCGCAACGAGCGCAACCCUUGAUCUUAGUUGCCAGCAUUCAGUUGGGCACUCUAAGGUGACUGCCGGUGACAAACCGGAGGAAGGUGGGGAUGACGUCAAAUCAUCAUGCCCCUUAUGACCUGGGCUACACACGUGCUACAAUGGAUAGUACAAAGGGUUGCAAGACCGCGAGGUGGAGCUAAUCCCAUAAAACUAUUCUCAGUUCGGAUUGUAGGCUGCAACUCGCCUACAUGAAGCCGGAAUCACUAGUAAUCGCGGAUCAGCAUGCCGCGGUGAAUACGUUCCCGGGCCUUGUACACACCGCCCGUCACACCACGAGAGUUUGUAACACCCGAAGUCGGUGGGGUAACCUUUUAGGGGCCAGCCGCCUA
This 587-nucleotide ribosomal RNA is filed under the name Gottfriedia luciferensis. RNAcentral's name for it is "bacterial SSU rRNA". It matches the Rfam family "Bacterial small subunit ribosomal RNA", at positions 870 to 1459 of the family's 1533-position model. The record is from RNAcentral. Lineage: Bacteria; Bacillati; Bacillota; Bacilli; Caryophanales; Bacillaceae.